This 3374-nucleotide long non-coding RNA is filed under the name Panax ginseng (ginseng). RNAcentral's name for it is "long non-coding RNA (PGIN_LNC009275)". The record is from RNAcentral. Lineage: Eukaryota; Viridiplantae; Streptophyta; Magnoliopsida; Apiales; Araliaceae.
GGAUAGCAAACUAUUUGGGCUGGAAGUCAGUGCUGGCACAGGGGUUAGCAGGAGGUGUUUUAAAAUAAGCCUAUUGCACAUCCAUUAAGUUUAGGUAAACAUGAGCUGUCAAAAUUUUAAAGCAAUAAACAACCACUAAGCAAAUUUGUUUGAUGAGAUGAGAGCCAAGAAUUUAUACUCAGCUCACUCUAAGUACUCUCCAUCCAUUUCAAGUUUUAACAUCUUCUCUUUCAAAUUUCCGAAACCAAACAUUUCCAAACAUUUGCCCAAAUUUCGUGGUCUUUGCUGCAAGCAUCAAAGUUAACUACUGGGUUGUUUAAGUUGAGCAAGGAAGGGACUGAUCGAAGUAAUUUUAAGAAAAAGAUCAUCUAAUUCAAAGCAAGCUAUAUUAAACUGAGGAUUCGUAGCAAAGUGAGGUAUGUUUAUUUCAUUAAGUAAAUCAUGAAAUUUUUAGUUUGUUUUGUAUAAAAGGGCUACAAUUGAAUUGUUAAUUGAGAUUGUGAUAGACGAUUUAUCAAAAAGGAGUAUAGUUGUUAUGGUGAGGAGCAAUAAGUGGGAAAAUUUAUGGCUGGAAACCUACACAAAUCCAGAUGAGAUCUGUUCUAAAAAUACAUGCACAUGACGUGUUUGAUAAAUGGUUUCUUAGAGUCAAUAAGCUCAAAAUUAGUAAUUGUAAUAAUAUAUUAAGUAAGAUAACAUUUAUAAAUGUUAUAUGAGAUGUAUUGAAUGAAUUUUAUAAAUGAAAUUUGAAUUAAAAAAAACUGUUUUAAAGAGGAUGUACAAUGGAGGUUUAGUUGGAAAAUUGGUGCUUUAGAUGGAGAAAUGAAAAUUUAUUACUCCUUAUAUAGAAAGAUGGACACUACUGGACAAGUAUUAUUUUAUAGCUUAGUUGUAGGCAAUACUUAAAAGGAUUAAAUUGCAUCACAAGCAAGGAAUUGAUGAAUGUGAUAUUAAUUCAAUCUGAUUUUUUUGUCGCUGCUGUGGAGAUAUUUAAAGAUUGUCCAGGACCAUCCCGCAUGAAGCCAUUAUUAUUGCUACAUCAAAAGCUAGAUAUGUCUUUGUUGAGAUAUCCUUCUCUUAAUGAGCUAAAAUAUACUACAGUUAAUACAAAAUUUUUGUGGAAAGAAUCAAAAGAUACAUGGGGCACAAUGCUAUCUUUGAGGAGGAUACUUUUAUAAGUAUGGGUAAAAAGCGUAACAUAAGGUUUAUACACAUUCUUAUAUCUUAUGUUUGCACUAUUCAAGUGAAAAGUAGCCGAGCUGCAAGAAUGGAUUUUGAUCUAGUUUGCAUAUGGCUGGGUUAGUAAUGUCAAAUGACUAAAUAUUAAGCUGAAAACAACAACUCCGAUACACAUGUAUAUGCAUGCACAAGUGUUAUCUAUUAGAGAUAUUAAACAUGUAAAACGAACUAAUUAAAACUGUUUUUGGGGGGCUGAUCUUGAGCCAAAAUUUAUGAGGGUAUAGAACUGAAAAUUUUAGUUUUUUAAUGGUGGGUUGUGCUCCUAUGAGUUAUGGAAAUAAUCCAAUUGGAGUGAAUCAAAAAGGAGCUAAAACGAAUUUAUAGUGAAGAUUUUAGUAAAACAUAUUAGAAACCGAAAAAUUGUGGACUGCUGACCCUAAGGACAAAUUCGGGGCUAGCUAUAUUUUUCAAAAAAUUCUGGCUUUUUGGGGAAGUAUAGUACACUGAAUAAGGAAUCCAUAGCCUCUGGAAUGGACUAAUUCCGACCUCGGAGGAGGGAGUUAUGGCAUUCCAAAGUAAGAGCGGCGAAUCUGUCCAAAAUCUGGAAAUCAGAUUUUGACCAGUCCCUUGCACGAAUUAUUUUAGAAUUCUGUGUUUUGAAUUUGGAAAUGCUCAUAGAAUGAAAGUUGUAGCCUCAGAAGUUAGCUUCGCGUGGGCUCAAGAAUCGCUCAAAAAUGUUUUGAAACGAAUUAGUUAUGACUGUUUUAGCGAGAGGAUAAAACUGGAAAAAAAAUUGAAAAUUACUAUGAACGUCAAUUUUUGGCACGUUGUUAAGACUACUUAACAAACCCGAAAUUAGAGGUUGGUAUUUCUUAAAAAUAGUCUUGUAUGCCAUGAAAAAACAUACUAAAAAUGCCUUACGAUUGGAAAAGUAGAUUGCAAGUUUUAAGCCGCGAAGUGGGUGUCAAAGGCGAGGGGCUGCUGCCUUGUGGCAGCAGCAGAUAGCAGCAGCCAUGGGUUGUUCAGCAUGCGAUUUUCCCGCAACGCUUUUGGGUGGUUUUGUGGCUGUUUAACAUGUAACAAAACACCGACAGAGCUGUAUAGAUAUUAUAUAAUGUUAUAUAUCGCGAAAACUCAAUUUAACUGUAAAGAAAGCGAUAGAAAUGUAAUGUAAAUGUAAGUUUUCAUAACUAUGCGAGCGUAAUUCGGGAAAUGAUAUGUAGAACGUAUAUUCCUAAACCCCUAUGGUCCCGUGUUUAUAAAUAGAGGCAAGAAAUAUUUUAAAAAGGGGAUAUAAAUGGUUUAUGUUUUGAUACGUACGUAAAGUAUUUACAUACUAAAUCCAUGAGAGAACCUUUUUGGGCAUAAAAAGGUUAUAACGGACAAAAGUUUCUAAAGAAACAUGGAAUGGUUUUAAGACGGACAAAAUAUUAUAGUUAAUGUAAAUAAAAUUAGUUUACAUUGAGUAUGUGAAUUUAGUAUGUGAAACUAAUAUGGAUAUGUAUAUAUUCUCAAUUUGUGUAGGAUCAUUACAGAGCAGAUAAGUUAUAAACAUUAAACAACAUCCGAGGCAAGUUUUUCAGUUCUGUUAUGUUUGUGGAUGGAAUGUGGUUAUGUGCUAAAUUACAUAUCAUGCUCUAUGAAUUGUUAAAGUCAAAAUAUGACUAAGUUAAUUGGGUAUGGAACUCAAUUUAUAUGUGAUAUGUGAUAACACAUGUUGUAUGAUGUAACACGAUAAUUGGAAAUGUAUAAUGCAAGAAUAUAUGCAUUGCACAGAAUUAUUGAUGCAUGUAGAAUAUGCAUAGCAAAGAAAGUAUGUUGCAUGUGGUGAAUAUAGAGUUGUGUGCUAUGUGAAGCAUGAUAGACUGUUAAAUUUGUUGGGCUGUCGAGCUCAAUCUUGCAAACACAAACUUUUUGCAGGUUAAUGACGUUAUGCAAUAUUAUUUGUUAUGCGGAUGAUGAAGGAUGAAUGAUGGACGAAAUGAAUACAUUUCUUGAAUUAGAAAUGGUAUAAAUUUAUGAUUGAUAGUUUUGUCAAAUGUAAUUGACAUUAUCUAUAGUUUAAAAUGGUGAAUGGAUACAAAAUGUUUAUUUUGAAAUGAAAAUAAAUAUGAUUCUAGUAUAAAGAAGAAUUGUAAAUGUUGCGAUUCAGGGAAUGAAUGAAUGGAAAUAAUAAUAAAAAAAUUUAUUCCGCA